UUCACACCUCCCACUAGGGAAUUACCCUCCAGGUUUAAAAUGUCAAUCCCCGUUUUCAUGUAAACAAUCAGAAACAGAACUUUCUGUCUUGGGAUUUGAGUUAAAUGUGUCAAGUAUGGACCAACACAUGUGUUGGCACAGCGCCAUGCGGUUCUGAUGUGUGUCAGCUGGCAACCCGCCGCACUCGAUCACUGGCAGGGAAUAAUGACACAUGUGACGGAAUCCGGGGACAUGGCAUAUUUCAAAAGGGGAUCACGGUGGGGGGGCAGAAGAACCCCUGGGCUUGACGCAAAUAUUGUCAGUCAAAGGCUCGCACUGCAGGCUGUUGGCACACGGCAUAAGCUCCGUUUUGGACAGCUAACAUUGACAAGAGGUGGAAGACACCUGAAAACCGGAGAAACCGGAUGCCCGACAAGGCCGGGCGAACCCUUCCUGGGAUUUGUAGAAUGUUGAGUGCUUCAUGUCGUAGUCCCUUCAUGAUUUAGCAGGCUUCUCGAGUUAUUGUUGCGGACUAAGAUUUCGCGAUGAUUUUCAAGAUAUUCCAAAGAAAUACGUUUUGUAUUUAACCGGA
Hippocampus zosterae (dwarf seahorse) is the source of this 571-nucleotide long non-coding RNA. RefSeq lists it as uncharacterized. The record is from RefSeq and is a predicted model, not a curated record. Lineage: Eukaryota; Metazoa; Chordata; Actinopteri; Syngnathiformes; Syngnathidae. The transcript is spliced from 2 exons.